AUUGAACGCUGGCGGCAGGCCUAACACAUGCAAGUCGAGCGGAUGAAGGGAGCUUGCUCCUGGAUUCAGCGGCGGACGGGUGAGUAAUGCCUAGGAAUCUGCCUGGUAGUGGGGGAUAACGUCCGGAAACGGGCGCUAAUACCGCAUACGUCCUGAGGGAGAAAGUGGGGGAUCUUCGGACCUCACGCUAUCAGAUGAGCCUAGGUCGGAUUAGCUAGUUGGUGGGGUAAAGGCCUACCAAGGCGACGAUCCGUAACUGGUCUGAGAGGAUGAUCAGUCACACUGGAACUUGGACACGGUCCAGACUCCUACGGGAGGCAGCAGUGGGGAAUAUUGGACAAUGGGCGAAAGCCUGAUCCAGCCAUGCCGCGGGUGUGAAGAAGGUCUUCGGAUUGGAAAGCACUUUAAGUUGGGAGGAAGGGCAGUAAGUUAAUACCUUGCUGUUUUGACGUUACCAACAGAAUAAGCACCGGCUAACUUCGUG
Molecule: ribosomal RNA, 484 nt
Filed under: uncultured bacterium
Lineage: Bacteria
Description: partial 16S ribosomal RNA
Rfam family: Bacterial small subunit ribosomal RNA
Source: RNAcentral